RNAcentral lists this ribosomal RNA (1858 nucleotides) under human gut metagenome. RNAcentral's name for it is "bacterial LSU rRNA". It matches the Rfam family "Bacterial large subunit ribosomal RNA", at positions 580 to 2464 of the family's 2925-position model. The record is from RNAcentral.
CCCGUUAAUGGGUGAUGGCGUGCCUUUUGUAGAAUGAACCGGCGAGUUACGAUUUGAUGCAAGGUUAAGCAGGAAAUGUGGAGCCGUAGCGAAAGCGAGUCUGAAUAGGGCGUUGAGUAUUUGGUCGUAGACCCGAAACCAGGUGAUCUACCCUUGGUCAGGUUGAAGUUCAGGUAACACUGAAUGGAGGACCGAACCGACUUACGUUGAAAAGUGAGCGGAUGAACUGAGGGUAGCGGAGAAAUUCCAAUCGAACUUGGAGAUAGCUGGUUCUCUCCGAAAUAGCUUUAGGGCUAGCCUCAAGUGAUGAUUAUUGGAGGUAGAGCACUGUUUGGACGAGGGGCCCCUCUCGGGUUACCGAAUUCAGACAAACUCCGAAUGCCAAUUAAUUUAACUUGGGAGUCAGAACAUGGGUGAUAAGGUCCGUGUUCGAAAGGGAAACAGCCCAGACCACCAGCUAAGGUCCCAAAAUAUAUGUUAAGUGGAAAAGGAUGUGGCGUUGCCCAGACAACUAGGAUGUUGGCUUAGAAGCAGCCAUCAUUUAAAGAGUGCGUAAUAGCUCACUAGUCGAGUGACACUGCGCCGAAAAUGUACCGGGGCUAAACAUAUUACCGAAGCUGUGGAUUGUCCUUUGGACAAUGGUAGGAGAGCGUUCUAAGGGCGUUGAAGCAUGAUCGCAAGGACAUGUGGAGCGCUUAGAAGUGAGAAUGCCGGUGUGAGUAGCGAAAGACGGGUGAGAAUCCCGUCCACCGAUUGACUAAGGUUUCCAGAGGAAGGCUCGUCCGCUCUGGGUUAGUCGGGUCCUAAGCUGAGGCCGACAGGCGUAGGCGAUGGAUAACAGGUUGAUAUUCCUGUACCACCUAGUAUCGUUUUAAUCGAUGGGGGGACGCAGUAGGAUAGGCGAAGCGUACGAUUGGAUUGUACGUCUAAGCAGUGAGACUGAGUGUUAGGUAAAUCCGGCACUCAUAAGGUCAAGCUGUGAUGGGGAGAGGAAAUUGUUUCCUUGAGUCGUUGAUUUCACACUGCCAAGAAAAGCCUCUAGAUAGAUAACAGGUGCCCGUACCGCAAACCGACACAGGUAGUCAAGAUGAGAAUUCUAAGGUGAGCGAGCGAACUCUCGUUAAGGAACUCGGCAAAAUGACCCCGUAACUUCGGGAGAAGGGGUGCUCUUUAGGGUGCAAGCCCAGAAGAGCCGCAGUGAAUAGGCCCAAGCGACUGUUUAUCAAAAACACAGGUCUCUGCUAAACCGUAAGGUGAUGUAUAGGGGCUGACGCCUGCCCGGUGCUGGAAGGUUAAGAGGAGUGGUUAGCUUCUGCGAAGCUACGAAUCGAAGCCCCAGUAAACGGCGGCCGUAACUAUAACGGUCCUAAGGUAGCGAAAUUCGCACGAAAGGCGUAACGAUUUGGGCACUGUCUCAACGAGAGACUCGGUGAAAUCAUAGUACCUGUGAAGAUGCAGGUUACCCGCGACAGGACGGAAAGACCCCGUGGAGCUUUACUGUAGCCUGAUAUUGAAAUUCGGCACAGCUUGUACAGGAUAGGUAGGAGCCAUUGAAACGUGAGCGCUAGCUUACGUGGAGGCGCUGGUGGGAUACUACCCUAGCUGUGUUGGCUUUCUAACCCGCACCACUUAUCGUGGUGGGAGACAGUGUCAGGCGGGCAGUUUGACUGGGGCGGUCGCCUCCUAAAAGGUAACGGAGGCGCUCAAAGGUUCCCUCAGAAUGGUUGGAAAUCAUUCAUAGAGUGUAAAGGCAUAAGGGAGCUUGACUGCGAGACCUACAAGUCGAGCAGGGUCGAAAGACGGACUUAGUGAUCCGGUGGUUCCGCAUGGAAGGGCCAUCGCUCAACGGAUAAAAGCU